RNAcentral lists this unclassified non-coding RNA (306 nucleotides) under uncultured fungus. Its description in RNAcentral is "sequence contains ITS2". The record is from RNAcentral. Lineage: Eukaryota; Fungi.
AACGCAAAUUGCACUUCUUGGUAUUCCGAGAAGUAUGCUUGUUUGAGGGUUAGUUUACAAAAAAUCGUGAAAAUUUUUUUACGGACCUGGGUUUUCCAAGUUUAUUUCAUUUUGGUAACCUAAAAUUUAUCUUAAUAAUCUUAUGUGAUAUUGGAAAUAUUCUAUCUUGCAAUUUUUUUGUAAGUUUAUUAACAAUCAUCACUAAUUAUUAUGUCGUGUUAUCAUAUAAUGCUUUUUUACUAGGUAUGAUAACAUAAUUUAUAUUUAGCUAACCUCAAGUCAAGUAAGAAUACCCGCUGAACUUAA